Molecule: transfer RNA, 76 nt
Filed under: Azonexus sp.
Lineage: Bacteria; Pseudomonadati; Pseudomonadota; Betaproteobacteria; Rhodocyclales; Azonexaceae
Also listed under: 3 other names
Description: tRNA-Trp
Rfam family: tRNA
About the family: Transfer RNA (tRNA) molecules are approximately 80 nucleotides in length. Their secondary structure includes four short double-helical elements and three loops (D, anti-codon, and T loops).
Source: RNAcentral
AGGGGUAUAGCUCAAUUGGCAGAGCGUCGGUCUCCAAAACCGAAGGUUGGGGGUUCGACACCCUCUGCCCCUGCCA